This 535-nucleotide long non-coding RNA is filed under the name Homo sapiens (human). Its description in RNAcentral is "HSALNT0356473". The record is from RNAcentral. Lineage: Eukaryota; Metazoa; Chordata; Mammalia; Primates; Hominidae.
CUCAGGUGAUCCGCCCGCCUUGGCCUCCCAGUGUUGGGAUUACAGGCGUGAGCCAUCACGCCCGGCCGAUGCUUAUAUUUCAUAUUGAAGGGACACACCUCAACACAUUUACUUUUGGAAACUGUUAAGCAGAUAGAGGGAACGCUGAAAAAAUUUCUACCAGAGAUAUACCAAGAGGAUUUGUCCUGCUCCGUAAUUGUAAUCUCUUUGCCUGGCCUUUGCUUUCGUCUGUGAAGCUGCCACUAGCUCCGGACCAGCCAGAGCCACCUACUCGGAUCAUGUUGGCAGAACCCAGUACUGUUUCGAGGCCAGAUGCACCAUUUCAGCAAUUCAGGAGGAAAUAAGCAGUGUGGAUAAACUGAUACCCAUUUUUGAAAGUCGGCCUGGGUUCGCAUUCAGAAGAAAUGUCGACGCUAGCCAUUUUUUUUUUAAAAUGGGUGAUUUGAUAACUCAGGGAAGUCUUGCCACUGUAAUUUUUAAAAGUUUGCUUGCUAGAACCAGGUACUUUCUAAGAAGUGUAUGGAAAAAGCCUUGA